RNAcentral lists this long non-coding RNA (3667 nucleotides) under Malus domestica (apple). RNAcentral describes it as "long non-coding RNA (MDOM_LNC012110)". The record is from RNAcentral. Lineage: Eukaryota; Viridiplantae; Streptophyta; Magnoliopsida; Rosales; Rosaceae.
UGGUGGGAUGGUGAGAUUCGAGGUGAUCGAAAAGCUUGGUCCUGAUGUUAAGUGUAAGUGUACUGAUCCUGGUUUGUUGCUGCCUCGGGCUAAUUUGACUUUCUGGAGGGACGGGAGUUUAGUGCGAGAACGUAAUGCCAUGCUUCCCACCAUUUCGUCGAAGGUUUGCUCAUUCUUUACCUUCUUUUACAUAAGCAAAACAUCGAGGGACUUAUCGUUUGAUGUAUGUACUGAAUUUCUAAAUGUUAAGCGUUGCAUGUCACUUACAUAGUGAGUAAAAUGCAUAAUGAUGCCCUCACGAGCCUUCUGUAUGUUCCAACUUCCAACUUCCGAGCACAUAUACUUCUCUAGCUAUAAACUAUAUUGAUAUGAUAACCAAGAUGACCAUUUUGACUGACCUGUAAUCCUGUAUGGGAAUCCGCAGGGGCUGCAUUAUACUCUUUACAUUGUUUUUCGAACCCUAUUAGCAAGGCUUUCUAAUGUUCAAGCCGAAUAUAGAUACAUUUGGUGUGUCCUUUUGGAAUUAUCAAAUUGUUCAAAUUUAAUUUUCGAAAUGUAGAUGCAUCUUACAUCUAGUGAUUGUUCUGUUGCACAUGCCGUUGUUUCAAUUGGCAAAGCUUGUUCAAAACUAGUUAAAUUAUUUAAUCCCAUUACUUUGAAAAAGGAGAAUAAGUUUUGAAAGUUUGAGCUAAGAGUCCAAGACAACUCUUUUAGAUCAUCUUUUGUUCAACUUUCCCAUAUGUUAAUUUUCAUUUUUAAAAUAACUUUUGUUUCUGACGAUUCUAAAAAGAAAAAUAAAAAUACUUUUUUUUUUUCCGGGUAAGCAUGGCUUUAUCAUAUUAGUCCUCUUUGAUAACUGUAUUAUUGAUUGAUAAGCAUGGAGCUUUGGUUUCCGACUCCAGAGCGUUAGUGUCUUCUGAUACGAAGCAUCCUUGCCUACAGAUUUAGUAUCACCGAGAUGGAUCCUGUCUUGAGCAAGAUUACAAAAAGGAAACCCAAAUUUUCAAGUUAUGCAUAAUUAUUAAUUCUUGUCACGAUCUCAACUUGGUCAUAAAGUGAAGUUUAUUCUCCAUUAACCCUGUCUGGACUCUGGAGUGUGGUCUGGUCUAACUUCGAGUCUUAAAACCAUAUCAUGAAUUGGCAAUUGGAACUUUAAAAAGUGUCAUUUGUGCUUGUAUAUGCUAGCAGUGACAUGCAUUUGUGAUUGUUAUUCAUUUCUUAUGAUCUUGCUAAAAUCUACUUGUGUAUUUCCACAUAAUAACAUUGGUAAGUUCUUAAACUUAUCUUUUGGUCUCACACUCUGAGUUUUCAAUAUAUUCAGGAUUGGUUGGACAUUGAUUUUGGGAUUGCAGAGGGUGUUGAUUUUAUCGCUGUAUCUUUUGUCAAAUCUGCGGAAGUGAUAAAUCAUCUUAAAAGCUAUAUUGCUGCACGGUCUCGAGAUAGGUAAAGUACUUAAGUAUUAAAUACGUAUAUUACAUGCAUACCAUACAUAUUAUAUUUCUUGGUCAUAUGUUAUCGCACGAUAAUGAAGCCUCCUUUCAGUUGUUCCUGCUAAGAAUUAACUGCUCCUGUAGAUUCUUUCAUUGUUAAGAGAUUUGAUAUUUUAUUGCACCUCCUAUCUGCAUUCUGUAAUGCUUGUGGUCGGUGAAAUUUCUCUUAUAUGUUGUUUUUGCAAUCAUUUUGAUUCAAUACUUAAAGGUUAAACACCUAUUUGCCACUUGAAUGGAUAUACAGAAACUAAUAUCAUUCCUACUGAUUAUUUUUAUUGUACUUUGGGACUUGUUUUUAUAAUCAAGAUGCUUAACUUGUGUUGAUCCUUUAAGCUGAUUUUUCUAUUCAUUUGGUGCAGCGACAUUGCUGUCAUUGCAAAGAUAGAGAGCAUUGACUCUCUAAAGAACCUGGAAGAGAUCAUCCGAGCAUCAGAUGGAGCAAUGGUAGCAAGAGGGGAUCUAGGUGCUCAGAUACCACUGGAACAGGUCCCAGCAGCCCAGCAAAAGAUUGUUCAAGUUUGUCGGCAGCUAAAUAAGCCAGUCAUUGUGGCUUCUCAAUUACUUGAAUCUAUGAUUGAAUAUCCUACACCCACUAGAGCCGAAGUGGCUGAUGUUUCUGAAGCAGUGAGACAGCGCGCUGAUGCUUUGAUGCUUUCUGGUGAGUCGGCUAUGGGCCAGUUCCCUGAAAAGUCAUUGGCUGUUCUCAGAAGUGUUAGUCUGAGAAUUGAAAGAUGGUGGAGGGAAGAGAAACGUCAUGAAGCUAUGGAACUACCAGCUAUUGGAUCUUCAUUUUCAGACAGUAUCUCAGAGCAGAUUUGCAUUUGUGCUGCCAAGAUGGGUAAGUAUUCACUAAAUACGUUUCUGAGUGAGCUAAGUUCAGCAGUUAUCUGUUUGUUUGCAUAUUUAAUAGUACUAUAGUUAGGGAACUCCCUGGGUUGGUCGUAUCUGUCAAUAUAAACUACUUAUGAUAGAUCUACACUGAGAGUCUCGAUGUAAAAAGCUCCUCUAUUCUCUUCGGGUGUAUAUAUGCUCAGGAUUUCCAUCUAGUGUAAUAUAAAUCGCAUCUUUCACAAUAAGUAAUAACAAAAAUAAAAUUCUCACCCAUACCAAACACGCACACCCACAUGAAAGUAAUGUUGAGGUAAUCAUAUGUGAUUUAUACAUUCUGGUAGCCACAUUACAUCUGGAUUAGUUUUUCCAAGGUGUUUUCCUUUUUCGUAUUGUGUAAAAUGCACUUCCUUGUUGUACAGAAGCUGAACCAAUAUAUCCAAAUGACAAAAAAAUGAUUUUUUUUUCUCUUACAAGUUUUAUUUUAGAUAGCAUUUCGGUUACAACUAUUUAAUACAUUCUUGUAUGUGAUCAUUUAUUCUCACCCUUCUCGUAAGAUGGCUAAUGAAGUUCAAAAGAAUGAAUAUAUUAGUGUUGAGCCUAUUGACCCUUUCUGUUGAAUUAUAUUCUUGUUCUAGUCAUUGCUUUUGCUGCAUAUGGAACAAUAUCUUGAUGUGAAUUGCGAUUUUGCAGCCAAUAAUUUGGAGGUAGAUGCUCUUUUUGUCUAUACAAAGACAGGCCACAUGGCAUCUCUCUUGUCUCGCUGCCGGCCAGACUGCCCAAUCUUUGCUUUUACUAACACGACAUCUGUACGGAGACGCCUAAACCUACAGUGGGGGCUGAUACCAUUUAGGGUGAGCUUCUCGGAUGACAUGGAGAGCAACCUUAACAAAACCUUGUCACUGCUCAAGGCCAGGAAUUUGAUCAAAUCAGGCGACCUUGUUAUUGCUGUCUCAGACAUCUUGCAGUGCAUCCAAGUUAUGAAUGUUCCUUGAAAAGUGGAUUUCGUUUAGCUUGGAAGCAUUUUCUCGAUCCUUCAUUGCUACUGGUUGAAAGAAAAAGGGGGCAAUCUGGAGGUGAUUCAGCUUUCCCCUAAUGAUCUUCCCGGGCUCUCCUUCAAGAUCCAUCGUAAAGUUGAGACUUGAGAGGGUUUCUUUCUGCCACUUGAGCUGCCUGGUAUUUUUCAUGAUAAUACCUUGUGAAAUUAAUUUGCUUAGUUAAUUUUAGUUAAUUAAGUUGAGACAUAAUUUUUAUGUGCAUUGUUUUGGUGUGUGUUAAAAUUGGAUCAAGCAUGAUCAACAAUAACCAUUUUCAAGCUACUGUUUAAUGUCACCCAAUGUUUUGUGAAA